CCUGGUGGCUCAGAUGGUAAAGAAUCUGCCUGCAAUGUAGGAGACCCAGGUUCAAUUCCUGGGUCAGGA
This 69-nucleotide transfer RNA is filed under the name Odocoileus virginianus texanus. It matches the Rfam family "tRNA". From Rfam's summary of the family: Transfer RNA (tRNA) molecules are approximately 80 nucleotides in length. Their secondary structure includes four short double-helical elements and three loops (D, anti-codon, and T loops). The record is from Rfam by way of RNAcentral. Lineage: Eukaryota; Metazoa; Chordata; Mammalia; Artiodactyla; Cervidae. RNAcentral also lists the same sequence under 4 other names.